CAUCUGGGCAGAGGGAUCCUCCUCUCAUCACCACCGAAUCAACCAGCUUGGAAGAGACCUCCAAGAUCACCCUCUCCAGCCUAUCACCUAGUCCUUAUUAAACUAACUAAACUGUGGCACUAAGCAGUCUCACUUGACACCAUUAUGCUUGCAAGCUGCAGUUCUCCAGGAAUGAACAAGAAGCAGUGCAAGCACAAGGAGAAGGAGAGCAAAGUGUGGCACUCCUGGCCACUGUGAGAAAUGGCCCCAGGAGGAAAAGAGAUGUUCUUCCUCAGGACAAUCAAGCAAUUGCUGCCUCCUGGAAAGGUCAAUGCUAUGUCCAAGGAAGCAUGAAGGAACUCAGCUGUAAUUGAAGCUGGCUAUCCCAAA
Long non-coding RNA from Pogoniulus pusillus (Red-fronted tinkerbird), 369 nucleotides. RefSeq lists it as uncharacterized. The transcript is spliced from 3 exons. Lineage: Eukaryota; Metazoa; Chordata; Aves; Piciformes; Lybiidae. The record is from RefSeq and is a predicted model, not a curated record.